UGGCUUGAACCAGACCUGAUUGA
This 23-nucleotide non-coding RNA is filed under the name Arabidopsis thaliana (thale cress). Lineage: Eukaryota; Viridiplantae; Streptophyta; Magnoliopsida; Brassicales; Brassicaceae. The record is from RNAcentral.